CCUACGGGUGGCAGCAGUGAGGAAUAUUGGUCAAUGGGCGAGAGCCUGAACCAGCAAAGCCGCGUGAGGGAAGAAGGCCCUAGGGAUGGUAAAUCCCUUUUGUAAGGGAGCAAGGAGCGCCACGAGUGGCGCGGUGAGAGUACCUGAACAAAAUGCAUGCGCUAACUCCGUGCCAGCAGCCGCGGUAAUUAGGAGGAUGUGAGCGUUAUCCGGAUUUAGUGGGUUUAAAGGGUACGCAGGCGGGAGCGGAAAGUCAGCGUUAAAAUUGCGGGGCUAAACCGCGCCGGGCCGUUGAAACUGGUCUUCUAGAGUGGUCGAGAGGUAUGCGGAAUGCGUGGUGUAGCGGUGAAAUGCAUAGAUAUCACGCGGAACUCCGAUUGCGAAGGCAGCAUACCGGCGCCCAACUGACGCUCAGGCACGAAAGCGUGGGUAUCGAACAGGAUUAGAUACCCGAGUAGUC
RNAcentral lists this ribosomal RNA (460 nucleotides) under uncultured bacterium. Its description in RNAcentral is "partial 16S ribosomal RNA". It matches the Rfam family "Bacterial small subunit ribosomal RNA", at positions 338 to 795 of the family's 1533-position model. The record is from RNAcentral.